ACUAGAGGGUUUCUGUUAAUCAUUGUCUCACCCACGUGGCCAGGUGGGUACUAGAGGGUUUCUGUUAAUCACUGUCUCACCCACGUGGCCAGGUAGGUACUAGAGGGUUUCUGUUAAUCAUUGUCUCACCCACGUGGCCAGGUAGGUACUAGAGGGUUUCUGUUAAUCAUUGUCUCACCCACGUGGCCAGGUAGGUACUAGAGGGUUUCUGUUAAUCUUUGUCUCACCCACGUGGCCAGGUAGGUACUAGAGGGUUUCUGUUAAUCUUUGUCUCACCCACAUGGCCAGGUUGGUACUAGAGGGUUUCUGUUAUUCUUUGUCUCACCCACAUGGCCAGGUAGGUACUAGAGGGUUUCUGUUAAUCACUGUCUCACCCACGUGACCAGGUAGGUACUAGAGGGUUUCUGUUAAUCAUUGUCUCACCCACGUGGCCAGGUAGGUACUAGAGGGUUUCUGUUAAUCACUGUCUCACCCACAUGGCCAGGUAGGUACUAGAGGGUUUCUGUUAAUCAUUGUCUCACCCACGUGGCCAGGUGGGUACUAGAGGGUUUCUGUUAAUCAUUGUCUCACCCACGUGGCCAGGUAGGUACUAGAGGGUUUCUGUUAAUCACUGUCUCACCCACGUGGCCAGGUAGGUACUAGAGGGUUUCUGUUAAUCAUUGUCUCACCCACGUGGCCAG
Oncorhynchus nerka (sockeye salmon) is the source of this 680-nucleotide long non-coding RNA. RefSeq lists it as uncharacterized. NCBI's taxonomy places the organism in Eukaryota, Metazoa, Chordata, Actinopteri, Salmoniformes, Salmonidae. The transcript has 3 exons. The record is from RefSeq and is a predicted model, not a curated record.